Molecule: RNA transcript, 2014 nt
Organism: Cucurbita maxima (winter squash)
Lineage: Eukaryota; Viridiplantae; Streptophyta; Magnoliopsida; Cucurbitales; Cucurbitaceae
Gene name: U-box domain-containing protein 15-like
Exons: 4
Source: RefSeq, a predicted model, not a curated record
CUUAAACACUCGCUCUGCUUUUGAGUUUGUAGUGUAAAGCUCUGUGAAACUAAACGAAAACUUCUUUUUCCAAGAGAUUGAAGAACAGAGCGAAAUCGAAUCAAUGAUGAAUCGCCAUUUUCUUCCUCUUCCACCGGAGAUUCCUCGUGCUGUUCUUUUCCCUGCAAUUUAGUUUCCAAAGCCGUUUGCAGUUUCCGAUAUGGCCAAGUAUCAAAGAAACGACGUUGGAUCUGUAGUUUUUUACCGAGUCUCCACUUCCACUGCCGCCGCCAGCCAUUUCCGUCUCUGUACUUCCUUCUCCACUGCUUCAUUCCGUAGGAAAUUUUUUGAUGCUGUAAGUUGUGGUGGAAGUUCACGCUAUCGCUAUCACCACGACGGCGAUGGUACUGUUUCCUCGGCGAUUAGGUCGAUGUCCGAGAUUGUGAAGGAACAGGAGGAAGUGAGACCGAAACGGUCCAAUGCCAAGUCGGAGAAGCUAUUCGAUCUUCUUAGACUGGAGUCGUCGCCGGAAUCGGAGCCGGAGACAAAGAAGAAGGAGGAGGUGCUGGAAGAGUUCAAAUGCGUAGUGAAAAUAUUGCAGGAUGAAAAUUUGGCGGAGAGGAGAGCGGCUGCGAGUCGAGUAAGGUUGCUUGCAAAAGAGGAUGCAGAAGCGAGAGGACUGCUUGCAAUGCUGGGAGCCAUUCCGCCGCUAGUUGAAAUGCUUGAUUUAGAAGACGAUGAAUCUAAGAUCGCCUCGCUCUAUGCAUUGCUCAAUCUUGGAAUUGGAAACGACUUGAACAAGGCGGCCAUUGUUAAAGCGGGAACUGUCCACAAAAUGCUUAAGCUGAUCGAAUCUGAUGAUUCCCCAAAUCCAUCUGUUUCAGAAGCCAUUGUUGCGAAUUUCCUCGGCUUGAGUGCAUUAGAUACCAACAAACUGGUAAUUGGGUCAUCGGGUGCAAUUCCAUUCUUGGUAAAGAACUUACACGACCCAGAUCAUAAAAGUAGUUCGCAAGUCAAGCAAGACGCUCUACGUGCGCUUUAUAACCUCUCUAUUUUCCCCUCAAAUGUUCCAUUUAUCUUAGAAACUAAGUUGAUCCCAUUUCUUCUAAACGCGUUGGGAGACAUGGAAGUAAGUGAAAGAGCCCUCUCAGUUCUAAGCAAUGUGGUGUCAACCCCAGAAGGUCGAAAGGCCAUAAGCACUUUCCCUAAUUCAUUUCCAAUACUGAUUGAUGUCUUGAAUUGGGCUGAUUCUCCUGGCAGUCAAGAGAAAGCAUCCUACAUUUUGAUGGUUAUGGCGCACAAAUCUUACCGUGAUAAACAGGCAAUGAUUGAAGCUGGGAUUUCAUCAGCUUUGUUGGAACUAACUCUUUUGGGCAGUACAUUGGCUCAGAAGAGGGCCUCUAGGAUUUUGGAGUGUUUGAGGGUUGAUAAAGGAAAACAAAUCCCUGAUCAUUUCGGGGGAAAUUCUUCUGCCCCAAUUUGUGGUUCUUCUUCAUCUUCUUUUACUAAUCCAAUUCUAGGUUCUGCUGAAGGUUUGGAAGGAUUGGAUGAUUUGGUGAGUGAAGAGAAGAAGGCUGUGAAGCAAUUGGUGCGGCAGAGUUUGCAAAACAACAUGAGGAGAAUUGUGAAGAGAGCCAAUUUGCCUCAGGAUUUUGUGCCUUCUGAUCAUUUCAAGUCGCUCACGUCAAGCUCCACUUCAAAAAGCUUGCCAUUUUGAAUGCGCAACUACAGGGAGUCAUGGUGUUAUUGAAGAUUCUCAAUUCUUUGGAUCUCUAAAACUGCAAUGGAUAGACUUUACUUCUUGCAAUUAACCGCAUCAACGUGGGUCUUCAGCACAUUAUGAAGUGCGGGCUUUUCCCAAAGGCUUGAGUAUAUAUUUUACUCGCACACUGGAAGUUCCUGGUGUUGAAGUCAAAAGUAGAUGGGAUUUGCAAUAAUAUGAGAAGUUUGGUAUAAUUGAUGAAUAAUGGUUGAAUAUACCUUCAUUGUAAGACCAUGCAUAUUUCCUCACACCAUCACGCUCAUAUUUUGCUUC